RNAcentral lists this ribosomal RNA (492 nucleotides) under uncultured bacterium. RNAcentral's name for it is "partial 16S ribosomal RNA". It matches the Rfam family "Bacterial small subunit ribosomal RNA", at positions 29 to 507 of the family's 1533-position model. The record is from RNAcentral.
AGUGAACGCUGGCGGUAGGCCCAACACAUGCAAGUCGAACGGCAGCACAGUAAGAGCUUGCUCUUACGGGUGGCGAGUGGCGGACGGGUGAGGAAUACAUCGGAAUCUACUUUUUCGUGGGGGAUAACGUAGGGAAACUUACGCUAUUACCGCAUACGACCUACGGGUGAAAGCAGGGGAUCUUCGGACCUUGCGCGAUUGAAUGAGCCGAUGUCGGAUUAGCUAGUUGGCGGGGUAAAGGCCCACCAAGGCGACGAUCCGUAGCUGGUCUGAGAGGAUGAUCAGCCACACUGGAACUGAGACACGGUCCAGACUCCUACGGGAGGCAGCAGUGGGGAAUAUUGGACAAUGGGCGCAAGCCUGAUCCAGCCAUACCGCGUGGGUGAAGAAGGCCUUCGGGUUGUAAAGCCCUUUUGUUGGGAAAGAAAAGCAGCAGGUUAAUACCCCGCUGUUCUGACGGUACCCAAAGAAUAAGCACCGGCUAACUUCGUG